ACGGAGGGUGCAAGCGUUAAUCGGAUUUAUUGGGCGUAAAGAGCGCGUAGGCGGAGUGGAAAGUUAGAUGUGAAAUCCCGGGGCUCAACUUCGGACCCGCAUCUAAAACUGUUAUUCUAGAGGGUAGACGGAGAAAAGGGAAUUCCACGUGUAGCGGUGAAAUGCGUAGAUAUGUGGAAGAACACCGGUGGCGAAGGCGCUUUUCUAGUUUAUUCCUGACGCUGAGGCGCGAAAGCAAGGGGAGCAAACAGGA
Molecule: ribosomal RNA, 253 nt
Filed under: uncultured prokaryote
Description: partial 16S ribosomal RNA
Rfam family: Bacterial small subunit ribosomal RNA
Source: RNAcentral